AACGCACAUUGCGCCCUUUGGUAUUCCAAAGGGCAUGCCUGUUCGAGCGUCAUUUGAACCCUCAAGCCUUGCUUGGUGUUGGGUGUUUUGUCUUCUUCUCGGAGACUCGCCUUAAAACAAUUGGCAGCCGGCACACUGGUAUUGAAGCGCAGCACAAUUUGCGCUUCUGUCCACGCGUGCCCGCAUCCACAAAGCCCAUUUUUUCACUUUUGACCUCGGAUCAGGUAGGGAUACCCGCUGAACUUAA
RNAcentral lists this unclassified non-coding RNA (247 nucleotides) under uncultured fungus. RNAcentral's name for it is "partial contains 5.8S ribosomal RNA, internal transcribed spacer 2, and large subunit ribosomal RNA". The stretch from base 1 to 52 matches the Rfam family "5.8S ribosomal RNA", at positions 103 to 154 of the family's 154-position model. Lineage: Eukaryota; Fungi. The record is from RNAcentral.